Nelumbo nucifera (sacred lotus) is the source of this 1179-nucleotide long non-coding RNA. RefSeq lists it as uncharacterized. The record is from RefSeq and is a predicted model, not a curated record. NCBI's taxonomy places the organism in Eukaryota, Viridiplantae, Streptophyta, Magnoliopsida, Proteales, Nelumbonaceae.
GCUACUUUGCCAAAUUGGGUACUUUGUUUGUUUGAUGAAAUAUAGUUAUGUAGAUGGACCUUUGGAAUUGGAAGGCAAUUCGAGAUCCCUCUCAGUCUCUCUGUAUUCAAUGGAACCUCGCUUUGGAUGAUUGUAGAUAAGAGAUGGACAUAUAACAAGCUUCUGCGUGAAUCCAACCCCAUCAAAUCACCGUUGCAUUGCUACAAUAUCGUUAAUUACGAAUCUGGAGCCACUCAGAUUAUUGAAAAAGAUGGUGUUAGAUUCACGCACAAGCUCGCUAUAUGUCUUUUCUUCGCAAAACAAAGAUUUUUUUCUCCCAUGCUUUCUUUCACAGUGGAUGCCUUUAAUUCUUUUUGUUAUUUAUUUAUUUUUUUUAAUUUUUACAUUGUAUUUCUUUGUUUUGGCGCAUUUUUUCUGGGUGUCAAAAGAUCGGAAGGAAUUUUUAGAAUAAUUAAGAAAAUUGAUGGUUUCUAAUUUAGAGCAAGGUUCAGGGAUUCCGACUAAAGGUUACGAUUCGUUCAAGCGGGCAUGAUGAAACGAAAGGGGCACUCCGGAAAAUUUCAGGCUAGUUUGGUUCAAAGAUUCCAGAUUCCAGAGAACAAAUGAAACUGAUGGUGUGCUGAUCACAUGGGAAAACUUCUAAAACAGUCUGUUGUGUCACAAUUACCUUAUGUCUAUCGGUCAAUUCUGAAGCAAUCCAUAUCAAGUGAAGAGGAUGACAUGGGUAUAUGAAGAACUUCCAGCAAGCAACAUAGCUGGUGCUCAAUUCCAGCUUGACCUCAGCUUAGAAUAGAGGGACAAAAAAGGAGUCUUUUGGCAGCAAAAUUUGGCAAAUCAGCAGCAGUUUCUCCCAGCACUUAGAAGCUUUAGCUGUACUGGAAUGCUUAAAGUUCAUCAAGGAAAAGAAUCUUAAUAAUGUCAUAGUGGAAGGUGACUCAAAGCGUUUGUGUUCAAAUGUUUAUCGUCUUCCAACAAGGUUGCAUAGAAGGAAUCUUGUUUUACCAUCCAAGACAUUCACAAGAUGGUGCAAGAAUUAAAUGUGUUUCAGUUCAGUGCCAGAGAAGGAAACAGGGCAGCUCAUUUAUAGGUGUUCUACAACUUAAAUUGUUUUUCUAGUAGCUGGUUCCAAAAACAAAUCAAAAACCAUCUUGUUUGAAAAGAUGUUCUUGGUUGUGUGUA